CGUGAGAUGUUGGGUUAAGUCCCGCAACGAGCGCAACCCUUGCCAUUAGUUGCUACGAAGGCACUCUAAUGGGACUGCCGGUGACAAACCGGAGGAAGGUGGGGAUGACGUCAGGUCAUCAUGGCCCUUAUGGGUAGGGCUACACACGUCAUACAAUGGCCGGUACAGAGGGCUGCCAACCCGCGAGGGGGAGCCAAUCCCAGAAAACCGGUCGUAGUCCGGAUCGUAGUCUGCAACUCGACUGCG
RNAcentral lists this ribosomal RNA (246 nucleotides) under uncultured bacterium. RNAcentral's name for it is "partial 16S ribosomal RNA". It matches the Rfam family "Bacterial small subunit ribosomal RNA", at positions 1066 to 1320 of the family's 1533-position model. The record is from RNAcentral.